RNAcentral lists this ribosomal RNA (253 nucleotides) under uncultured bacterium. Its description in RNAcentral is "partial 16S ribosomal RNA". It matches the Rfam family "Bacterial small subunit ribosomal RNA", at positions 524 to 776 of the family's 1533-position model. The record is from RNAcentral.
GACGUAGGGCGCGAGCGUUGUCCGGAUUUAUUGGGCGUAAAGAGCUCGUAGGCGGCUUGUCGCGUCGACUGUGAAAUCCCGCGGCUCAACCGCGGGUCUGCAGUCGAUACGGGCAGGCUAGAGUUCGGUAGGGGAGACUGGAAUUCCUGGUGUAGCGGUGAAAUGCGCAGAUAUCAGGAGGAACACCGGUGGCGAAGGCGGGUCUCUGGGCCGAUACUGACGCUGAGGAGCGAAAGCGUGGGGAGCGAACAGG